Molecule: ribosomal RNA, 253 nt
Filed under: uncultured bacterium
Lineage: Bacteria
Description: partial 16S ribosomal RNA
Rfam family: Bacterial small subunit ribosomal RNA
Source: RNAcentral
GACGUAGGGCGCGAGCGUUGUCCGGAUUUAUUGGGCGUAAAGAGCUCGUAGGCGGCUUGUUGCGUCGGCUGUGAAAACCCAUGGCUCAACCGUGGGCUUGCAGCCGAUACGGGCAGGCUAGAGUUCGGUAGGGGAGACUGGAAUUCCUGGUGUAGCGGUGAAAUGCGCAGAUAUCAGGAGGAAUACCCGUGGCGAAGGCGGCCCCCUGGGCCGAACCUGACGCUGAGGCGCGAAGGCUAGGGGAGCGAACGGG